AGUUUGAUUAUGGCUCAGAUUGAACGCUGGCGGAUGCUUACACAUGCAAGUCGAACGGUGCACGGACUUCGGUCUGGUGGCGAGUGGCGAACGGGUGGCAGCCGUAUCGGAACGUGCCUAGUAGCGGGGAUAAUUCCCGCCGCGAAAGCGAAGCAAUACCGCAUACGCCCCUUCGGGGGAAAGCGGGGGACCUUCGGGCCUCGCACCAUUAGAGCGGCCGAUAUCGGAUUAGCUAGUUGGUGGGGUAAAUGGCCUCACCAAGGGCGACGAUCCGUAGCUGGUUUGAGAGGACGACCAGCCACACUGGGACUGAGACACGGCCCAGACUCCUACGGGAGGCAGCAGUGGGGAAUUUUGGACAAUGGGGGUGUCCCGAUCCAGCCAUCCUGCGUGUGCGAUAGCGCUUUCGGGUUGUAAAGCACUUUGCAGGAAGAAACGGCACGGGAUAAUACCCCGUGUAACCACGGUACCUGCAGAAUAAGCACCGGCUAAACUACGUGCCAGCAGCCGCGGUAAUACGUAGGGUGCAAGCGUUAAUCGGAAUUACCAAGGAAGCGUGCGCAGGCGGUUCGGAAAGAAAGAUGUGAAAUCCCAGAGCUUAACUUUGGAACUGCAUUUUAACUACCGAGCUAGGAGUGUGUCAGAGGGAGGUGGAAUUCCGCGUGUAGCAGGAAUGGUGUAGAUAUGCGGAGGAACACCGAUGGCGAAGGCAGCCUCCUGGGAUAACACUGACGCUCAUGCACGAAAGCGUGGGGAGCAAACAGGAUUAGAUACAAUUCUGGUAGUCCACGCCCUAAACGAUGUCAACUAGCUGUUGGGGCCUUCGGCCUCGGUAGCGCAGCUAACGCGUGAAGUUGACCGCCUGGGGAGUACGGUCGCAAGAUUAAAACUCAAAGUGAAUUGACGGGGACCCGUACGUUGGUGGAUGAUGUGGAUUAAUUCGAUGCAACGCGAAAAACCUUACCCACCCUUGACAUGUCUGGAAUCCCGAAGAGAUUUGGGGAGUGCUCGCAAGAGAACCGAACACAGGUGCUGCAUGGCUGUCGUCAGCUCGUGUCGUGAAACAAGUUAAGAAGUCCCGCAACGAGCGCAACCCUUGUCAUUAGUUGCUACGAAAGGCACUCUAAUGACUGCCGGUGACAAACCGAGGAAGGUGAUGACGCUUCAGUCUCAUAUUCCUAUGGGUAGGGGCUUCACACGUCAGUACAAUGGUCGGGACAGAGGGUCGCCAACUCCGGCGAGGGGGAGCCAAUCCCAGAAAACCCGAUCGUAGUCCGGAUCGUAGUCUGCAACCUGACUGUGUGGAAGUCGGAAUCGCUAGUAAUCGCGGAUCAGCAUGUCGCGGUGAAUACGUUCCCGGGUCUUGUACACACCGCCCGUCACACCAUGGAGUGGGUUUUACCAGAAGUAGUUAGCUCAACUGUAAGGAGGGCGAUUACCACGGUAGGAUUCAUGAUCAGUGAAGUCGUAACAAGGUAGC
This 1480-nucleotide ribosomal RNA is filed under the name uncultured Bordetella sp. Its description in RNAcentral is "partial 16S-23S ribosomal RNA intergenic spacer". It matches the Rfam family "Bacterial small subunit ribosomal RNA". Lineage: Bacteria; Pseudomonadati; Pseudomonadota; Betaproteobacteria; Burkholderiales; Alcaligenaceae. The record is from RNAcentral.